This is a long non-coding RNA of Homo sapiens (human), 1117 nucleotides long. Ensembl annotates it as long intergenic non-protein coding RNA 3076. NCBI's taxonomy places the organism in Eukaryota, Metazoa, Chordata, Mammalia, Primates, Hominidae. The record is from Ensembl.
ACUCCAGUCCUCUCCACCCCAAGGUAGGCAGCUUCCCGCUCCUCGUCUUGGGACCUAAACCCAGGAAGUCAAAUGUCCUUUUCUAGCAGGUCGCCUGGUUAGAGGCCGUGGACGAAGCGGUCCAGGCACAGCCAGCUGCAGGGCGCGGCCUCGGCGGCGCUGCUCGUGGCCCUGGUCAGUGAGCGCACUCACUCCUGGACUAAGCUCUAUGCAACUCAUUUUCAUCUAGCAUUACCUCUCCAAAACCUGAAUCUCCACAAGAAAGCCACACAGCAAUUAACCAGUGUUGCAAGAACUGCUUCUGUAAUAAAGGUGGGAAGACAAAUUGAUGCAACCCUCUUGAAAAGCAAUCUGGCAAUAUGAACCAAGAGCCAUGAAAAGGCUUAUGCUAUUAUAAUUAAAUGGCUGUAAUGUUGGCUGUAAAUAUGAAAUUUUCUUUCACACACCAAUGUUUUCAAGAAUGGCAUAUUCACAUGCAGUAUGUGAUGAAAGAAGCAGUAAAGGAUGCUAACAAAGCUAUUUCUUUGGACAAUCUGAACCUGACGGAGUCUUACUCUGUCGCCCAGGCAGGAGUGCAAUGGCACAAUCUUGGCUCACCACAACCUCCGCCUCCUGGGUUCAAGUGACUCUCCUGCCUGGCCAUAGAAGCAAACACAAACAUAGAGGAAUUGGCUUUGGGCAGAUGGAAGGACCUCAGAGAAAAGAAACAAAGGAAAGAAAACUGGAUGGAUAAAGGUUUGUAGAAAUACUAUUCACAGGAAGCAAAUAGGAAUUCCUUAUCGCUAAACAGACACUAAGUCAAUUGGUAAAGAUCUUGCCAGCUGGUGCCUGGGUGCAUAGACUGCCUAUGGCUCUUGAAUUGCAUGCUGAAAACUUCAUAAUGAAACCAGAAAAUCACAGAAGCAUAAACACAGCUGCUUAUGCCUAUAAAAUGAGAAAAUUGAAGCCAACAGAAGUUAACUAACUUGCCUAAAAUAACACAGCUGUGGCAAAUUAGGACCAGAACCAAGGUCUCCUGACCUAAGUGCUACUCCCACCAUACUACAUGAUCUGCUGUUUAAAAUUUUGGUGAGCUUUAUAACAUAAAUAAAACUACAGAUGUGAAGGACUACUGAAA